AGCUAGCAAGAGCUCCACUCUACUUGGUUUGGAGGGCAGUUGUUUUCUUGAUACUCGGGGUCGGGUGGUGGGCGGUGAGUUUAAAGCGCCCGGGGUGUCUCUCUUUAACGUGUCCUUGGGAAUAUCUUUUCAGAGGGUAUGAGGUGGGGUUUGAAAUGAAAUUCCUCUCCUCACGCCUAUAAGUUCUCCAUCACCACCUCAAUCCUUGUCCUCCCUCCCCACCCCUCUCUCUCUCUCUCCGUGUCUUUGUGUGUGUGUGUGUGUGUGUGGGUGACAAGGUGUUGUAGGGUUUAGGAAGAAGUGGGGUUGGGUUGGCUGAGAAAAAUGGGAAGGUGGAAGAGCUUUAGAAGUGAUAUGGCUUCCACAGCUUAUCAAAGCAGAAGAAGAAAAGGUUUUGGCUACAAGAAUCUUUCCCUUCUUGUUCUUCUAUUCUGUAGAGGAUCUAUGUGUCCAUGCUUGUGAUUUUAGCUGAAGGAAAAUGAUAUUAUCAUUUACUUUCACUUGAUGGUAUAUGAAUUUUGAGUACAGUGACCCAUACAUUAAGAUAUCGAUGUAGAGAUGGGAGGCUUGAUUGGUGCAAUACAUCAUUGCCUAAUAUUCUUUUGGUAUGUUGGUUUUUACAUGCAUCCCAUACAACAUCUCUAUGAGCUAGCGAAGGUCGAUUUCAACCAAAUAAAUGAAAAAAGGGUCUAAGUUUCUUGAUAUGUGCUUGCCAUGUGGCUAAUGAUGCACCAAUAAUGAUGUUUUAUGGAAAAUGAUAUCAUAGAUUUUAGCUUCCUUUUGUUUCUCAGUUUAUAGAUCACGGAAGCAUUCGUUUUUGUUAAUUAUAAAGAAAAUCAGGAGGAAAUCUUUCUCCUUCUCGAUUUCUUUCAUGACCAUGACUCAUUCAUCGACAGGUUUUUGUGUUUCGUUCAACUUCUCGGUGACUGAAGGUUGAUGGUUCAUCACUUCUCAAAAAAUAAUUAACUAGGUUUAUUGAGAAUGCUUACCUCUUGGUUCAUAGAUCAGACAAGUAUUCUUACAUGGUUUUUUUUUUCUUUUCACAAAGAAAAUAAGGUGGAAAUCCCUCUCCUCCAUUCUUAAUUUCCUCGACAGAUGGAACCAUUCAAAGAUGGUUUUGAUAUCUUUUAUGAAAAUUAUCAGAGCGGAAAUUGUAGUGAUUUAUUCAUGACAUCGAUGUGAUCUUUGUACAACAACUGGAAUCUCUUAAAGCUUGGGACAAGACAGAAUGAAAAAAUGGAAACAAUAACCAAAAAAAAUUCGAUAAUCAUGGGAAAAAUAUAACAUAUACAAAAUAAAACAAUGGGAUAUAUCCAGGAUUUUGGGAAUUGAUUUGGAAACAUAUCGAAAAAGAAGUGAGUAAGAAAUUCAUACAAACUAGGAUAUAUGGAAGAUUUCUAUUGGUUGUGCAACUUAGCUUCACAUCUAAUACAUUGGGUGAUUGGUUUUAUAUAAACAGUGAAUUUUACUAAGAUUUUUGUUUAGCCUUUUCUAGCCUGCAUUGUAGAGUAUACAAAACAUUGAUUGCUGUGACAUGAUAUUCCUAAUAUAAAACACAUGCUAUUCUUUUUUUUUUUUAUGAUGGAGAACGCUAUCCUUGAGCCACCAUCUCAUUGUACAUUCUAACAUUCUAACUCUGUGAUCACUCCCUAAAAACUCCAAAUCACAACUUGAUACCACUGUUCUCAUUUUGUUUGGACCACCAUGUGCCUCUUUGCAACUAGUCUACAAAAUGGAGUCAGGAAUUCUGAAACCAUAGUUGUCACCGAAAAAUUCAGUGGCACAUUACCAUAUCUCUAUCUACCACUAGAUCUUCUUCUUCUCAUUCAACACUAGUUCCUCCUGGCACUGUGGCAUGGUCUCCCUUACUACUUAAUAGGGUGUUUGUGUGUGUGUGUGUGUUUUUUCUGAAAAAUUGUGUGGCUAUCAGAAAGAGAACAUGUCUACGGGGACCCACUAAAUGAGCAGGCUCCCAUUUGAGCCUGGCAAGCUGCAUUUUGUUGUUUUGCUCCCGAACCGAGACGUAAAGAAUUCUAUCUCCGGGGAAGGGUGUCAGCUUUCUAUUUUUCCAAGGUUUGAUAGGAUGGUGUCUUCCACAGCCACAAGUCUCUCAUAUGCGUCUCCAUGGCGGUGUGAAGACUGAAGAGUAUACUGAGCUCGUGACUCUUUUGCACGGCUGCAUGCUCCCACCUGCGUUACUCCCACCCUACCCUUCUCCUGAUGCUCUAAUGAUGCAUUUGAGGUGCAGAUUCUAAAAUAGCGGCAGCUAGAGGAAGUUCAAUUUUAACAUCUCAGUCUAUAAAGCAGAGUUGAGGAUAGCUUGAGUUGGCCUUGACCAUACUCGGCGUAUAUUGAGAACCAGUACCACUUUGUUGGAAGAUGACUCGGCCACAGUAGCUGGAUUUAGCGGCAUGCGAGAGAGGUACGGAUCUAUCUCCUGCUUCGGGACAUCUGGAGUUUAGCGAGAGGAUGUGUUUUCUUUUGGGCAAAACACAUCUAUAGGAAAGUGAACAGUGUAGCGGAUUGGAUGGCUUCCUUUGUGGUGGAUCGCUCCAGUGGAGUUCUCUGAACCGAUGAGGCGCAGUUGCUAAGGAUCUUUCGAGACUUCUUGUUUUCUGACUUUUUUGAAUGUAUUCGUAUUAGAGAUGUAUGAAUCGCCUAAUGUAGCAAAAAAAAAAAAAGAUUAAUCAACAAAUUGCUUACAUGCUAAUGAUGGAUUAUAUUGUGAGGAUUGUACAUGAAUCAAGAAAAAUUUUCCUAGUU
Phoenix dactylifera (date palm) is the source of this 2763-nucleotide long non-coding RNA. RefSeq lists it as uncharacterized. The record is from RefSeq and is a predicted model, not a curated record. Lineage: Eukaryota; Viridiplantae; Streptophyta; Magnoliopsida; Arecales; Arecaceae.